AGAACAAACAAUGGAGGUGGAAGGGAACAGUCACUUUUCUUUUGCUGUGUAGGAGAUGUACUGCUAAUGGCCCCAUGUUCUAGCGUGCCCUCUAGAAAUGGGUGUGGAUUUUGAGACCAGCAGUGGAGUGUUCACUCUGCUGAGCAGAUGAUUCUACCAAGCACCUGUUAGCAUCCUAGACUUAACAGCAGAGGAUCCAGUAACUUCAUUCCCCACAGCUGAUGGAUAUAUAGAAAGCUGCCCCACCCCUACUGGAAGUUUGGUUUAAAUAGUAGCAGCUAUUCUAAAUGGAAGUGUGACUUAGGUGUGUUUUCUGGGGGUGCUAAUGAAGCUGUUGAGAGGAGUUUGUUCUCCAGGAAAAGUUCUAUGGUAAACUUGGAGCCAAGAAUUGCGAUGGUGGAGGAAACAUGCAGAGUCACUUAUGAAAAGGAAAUGCUUGUCUUGAAAUCCACUGUGGGAGUCUAUUGACAAAAAGUGAAAGGAUGCACAAAUAUGGAAAAGUGGACAGAAGAUUAAAUCCUCCUUAUAACCGUUUUCUCCAUGUUGUAUCAUCCAUUCUACAACUUGUGGGAUAUGAAGCCCAAACCUGCGUUUGCUAGUAGUCUAAGGAUUAUUUCAUUGUACUCAUCCAUUACUUUAUCUUCUGGCACUAGAUCACGAUAGGCGUUUGCAUUUGAAUAAAGCUUUUAGAAAAU
Gallus gallus (chicken) is the source of this 695-nucleotide long non-coding RNA. The record is from Ensembl. Lineage: Eukaryota; Metazoa; Chordata; Aves; Galliformes; Phasianidae.